RNAcentral lists this ribosomal RNA (1392 nucleotides) under uncultured organism. RNAcentral's name for it is "bacterial SSU rRNA". It matches the Rfam family "Bacterial small subunit ribosomal RNA". The record is from RNAcentral.
ACGAACGCUGGCGGCGUGCUUGACACAUGCAAGUCGAGCGAGAAGCCAAUGUUUGAUUCUUCGGAAGAUUACUUUGGUGGAAAGCGGCGGACGGGUGAGUAACGCGUGGGCAACCUAACCUUAUACAGGGUGGACAACAUCGGGAAACCGGUGCUAAUACCGCAUAACACAUUGAAAUGGAAUCAUUAUGAUGUCAAAGGAGGAAUCCGGUAUAAGAUGGGCCCGCGUCCAAUUAGCUAGUUGGCGAGGUAACGGCUCACCAAGGCGACGAUUGGUAGCCGAACUGAGAGGUUGAUCGGCCACAUUGGGACUGAGACACGGCCCAGACUCCUACGGGAGGCAGCAGUGGGGAAUAUUGCACAAUGGGGGAAACCCUGAUGCAGCAACGCCGCGUGAAGGAUGAAGGUCUUCGGAUUGUAAACUUCUUUGAUUGGGGAAGAAGAAGUGACGGUACCCAAAAAACAAGCCACGGCUAACUACGUGCCAGCAGCCGCGGUAAUACGUAGGUGGCAAGCGUUGUCCGGAAUUACUGGGUGUAAAGGGCGUGUAGGCGGGGAUGCAAGUCAGGUGUGAAAGCCCAUGGCUCAACUGUGGGACUGCAUCUGAAACUGAAUCUCUUGAGUACUGGAGAGGGAAGUGGAAUUCCUAGUGUAGCGGUGAAAUGCGUAGAGAUUAGGAGGAACACCAGUGGCGAAGGCGGCUUCCUGGACAGUAACUGACGCUGAGGCGCGAAAGCGUGGGGAGCAAACAGGAUUAGAUACCCUGGUAGUCCACGCCGUAAACGAUGGAUACUAGGUGUAGGAGGUAUCGACCCCUUCUGUGCCGGAGUUAACACAUUAAGUAUCCCACCUGGGGAAUACGACCGCAAGGUUGAAACUCAAAGGAAUUGACGGGGGCCCGCACAAGCAGUGGAGUAUGUGGUUUAAUUCGAAGCAACGCGAAGAACCUUACCAGGGCUUGACAUCCCUUGACAGCUCUAGAGAUAGAGUUUCCCUUCGGGGCAAGGAGACAGGUGGUGCAUGGUUGUCGUCAGCUCGUGUCGUGAGAUGUUGGGUUAAGUCCCGUAACGAGCGCAACCCUUAUUGUUAGUUGCCAGCAAGUAAAGUUGGGCACUCUAACGAGACUGCCGGUGAUAAAUCGGAGGAAGGUGGGGAUGACGUCAAAUCAUCAUGCCCCUUAUGUCCUGGGCUACACACGUACUACAAUGGCUGGUACAGAGGGGAGCUAAGCCGCGAGGUGGAGCCAAUCCCCAAAACCAGUCCCAGUUCGGAUUGCAGGCUGCAAUUCGCCUGCAUGAAGUGGGAAUUGCUAGUAAUGGCAGGUCAGCAUACUGCCGUGAAUACGUUCCCGGGCCUUGUACACACCGCCCGUCACACCAUGAGAGUUUGCAAC